Non-coding RNA from Phoenix dactylifera (date palm), 407 nucleotides. The record is from RefSeq and is a predicted model, not a curated record. Lineage: Eukaryota; Viridiplantae; Streptophyta; Magnoliopsida; Arecales; Arecaceae.
CUUUUUCUGCUACAAGGAAUUGAAGCAGGAGCAAUAUCAUCGGAGUAGGGAUCCCAGCCGCCAGAGGGAACAUCACAUGGUUGUCCUGGAGCUAGGUAUUGGAGAAUUGGCAUUUGGUGAGCAAAUUAAGAUAAAUAGGAGAUGCUAGGAACAAGAAGCGUGACAUGCUCCAGGGUUAUGGGAAAGACAAAUGUUAAAUGUUGAUAUUGUUUUUAGAAGCUUUACAAAGAUUUACCUCUGUUCAAAGACUGGUUCAUUCGGAUCGACAUGAGAGUCCAACUCUAUUGCAUUGCCAAAAUCCAUGUUGUAUAUUUGAAGCAGAUUGACCUCCUUGCUUCUCUCAUGGUACAACUCUCUUCUAGCUAAGCUCCCUUUCUUCUCGAUUUGUUUCUGCUUGUGGUUUACUG